GCUCUUUAUAUUUCCUGGUUAUUAAUUUUUUUUGUUGGAUAGGUAGUUUAAAAAUAUUUUCUCCAAUUUUGUGGGUUAUCUCUUCACUUUGUCGAUUGUAUCCUUUGCUAUAAAGAAGCUUUUUAACUUGUGACCCCAUUUGUCCAUUUUUUUUCCCUCAUAAUUGCUUGAGCUUGCAGGGUAUAGCUCAAGAGAUGUUUGCCCAGACCUAUGUCCUAGAGAAGUUCCCCAAUGUGUUCUUAUGCUAGUUUCAUAGGUUUAGAUCUUACAUUUAAGGCUUUAAUCCAUUUUAUUUUGAUUUUUUCUUACGGCAAGAGAUGUGGGACUGGUUUUAUUCCUUUGCAUGUGCAUAUCCAGUUUCUUGGCACUAUUUAUUUAAGAGACUGUAUUUUCCCUAGUGUAUGUUCUUGGCACCUUUGUUGAAAAUUAGUAUUCUGUAGGUAUGAAGAUUUGCUUCUCAAGUCUCUAUUUUGUUCCAUUGGUCUAUGUGUCCAUGUUUAUACCAGUGCAAUGGUGUUUUAGCUAGUAUAAUUCUGUAGCAUAAUUUAAAGUUAGGUAAUGCUGUUCCUCCAGUUUUGUUCUUUCUGCUUAGGAUGGCUUUGGUUAUUCUGGGUCUUUGUAGUUCCAACUAAAUUUUUGGAUUUUUAAGAUUCUACUUCUGUGAAGAAUGUUGUUGGUAUUUCUAUAGGGAUUGCAUUAACUGUUUGGAUUGCUUUGGGUAGUAUGAAGAUUUUAACAAUAUUAAUUCUUCCAAACCAUGAACAUGAAAUAUUUUUCCAUUUUUUUGUGUCCUUUUCAAUUUUUUUUAUCAAUGUUUUGUACCUUUUAUUAUAGAGAUACUUUAUAACUCUGGGAAAGUUAAUUCCUAGGUAUUUAAUUUUAUGUGUGGCUAUUGUAAAUGGGAUUACUUUUUAUUUCUUUUCACAUUGUUCAUUGUUGGCAUAUAGAAAUGCUACUGAUUUUGCAUGUUGAUUUUGUAUCUGACAACUUUACUGAAUUUGUUUACCAUUUCUCAUAGUUUACUUGUCAAGUGUUUAGGUUUUACUACAUAUAAAAUCACAUUAUCAGAAAAUAAAAAUAACUUGACUUCUUUAAAAUCUGAGUACCCUUUAUAUUUUUCUCUUGUCUUGUUGCUCUGGCUAAAACUGACAGUACUAAGUUGAAUAACAGUGGUAACAGUGGGAACUCUUGUUAUGUCCCGGAUCUUAGUAUAAUACAAGCUGUGGAUCUGUCAUAUAUGGCUUUUAUGUUGAGGUAUGUUCCUUCAAUCUCUAAUGUCUUUGAGGAUUUUUAUCAUGAAUAUGUUUAUUUUAUAAAAUGCUUCUUUAGUAUCAAUUGAAAUGAUCAUACGCUUUUUACUCUUUACUCUGUUAAUAUGAUGUAUCAUGUUGAUUGAUUUGUGUACAUUGAGCUGUCCUUGUAUCACUGGAAUAAAUACCACUUGGUCUUGACAAAUGAUUUUUCUAAUAUAUUGUUGUAUUUGGUUUCCUAGUGUUUUGUUGAGAAUUUUUGCAUCAAUAUUUAUUAGAGGUAUUGCCCCAUGGUUUUUUAUUUUUGAUGUGUCAUUGUCUGUUUCUGUGUUAGCAUAAUACUGGUGUUGAGGAAUUAGUUUGAAAGUAUUUCCUUCUUCUCUAUUUUUCAGAAUAGUGUGAACAGAAUUGGUAUUAGUUCUUCAUUAAAUGUUCAGUGAAAUUUAGCAGUGAAGCUACCAGGACCCGAGCUUUUUUUACUGGAAUAUUUUUUUUUUAUUAUGGCUUCAAUCGCACCAUUUAUUAUUAGUCCAUUUAGAUUUAAAAUUUCUUACUAAGUCAAUAUUGUUAACUUUGAAUGUAUCUAGCAAUUUGUCAGUUUCUUCCAGAUUUUUGAAUUUAUUAAUAUAUACUUGCUUAUACUACUCACUAAUAAUGCUUUGAAUUUCUAUAGUAUCAGUUGUAAUUCAUUCUUUUAUAUAUAGCUGGUGCUAUUUACUUUGAACUCUUUUUUCCUUAGUCUGACUAAAGGUUUUUCAAUCUUAAACUAAAAACUUUGUAUUUAUCUUUUUCAUUGCUUUCUAUUUUCAUUUUUAUUUAUUUAUUUGUGUUCUAAUCUUUAUCACUUUAUUUCUUCUUCUAAUUUUGGCUUAGAUUUGCUAUGCUUUCCUAGUAUUUCAAGAUGUAUCAUCAGAUUAUUUGAAGUGUUUUUGUUUUUUGAUGUAGGUGCUCAUAGUAAUAAACUUUCCUCUGAGUACUGCUUUUGCUGAAUCUCACAGGGUUUGGUAGAUUGUGUUUUCAUUAUCAUUUGUUUCAAAAAAGUUUUCAAUCUUCUUCUGAAUCUCUUCAUUGACCCACCUGUCAUUUAGAAGCAUAUUAUUUAAUUUUCAGUUAUUUGUAUAGUUUCAAAAAAUUACUUGUUAUUAAUUUCUAGUUUUAUUCCAUUGAUGAGAAGAUGCUUCAUAUAAUUUCAAUUUUUUAAAAUGUUUUGAGACAUGAUUUGCUACCUAAGGUAUAGUCUAUCCUUGAGAAUGAUCCAUGUGCUGAGUAAAAGGAUAUAUAUUCUGAAGCUCUUAGAUAAAAUUAUCUCUAAAUAACUAUUAAAUUUAUUUGGUCUAUAGUGGAGAUUAAUUAUGACUUUUUUGUGUUGUUGAUUUUCUGUCUGGAAAAUCUAUCUAAUCUUAACAGUGGGGGGCUGAGGUCUCCAGCUAUUAUUGUAUUGGACCCUAUUUCUCUCUGUGGCUGUAAUGUAUGUAUUAUAUAUCUCUUUGCUCCAGUGUUGGGUUCAUAUAUCUUUAAAAUUGUUGUAUCUUCUUGCUGAACUUACUCCUUUAUUAUUACAUAGUGAGCUUCUUUGUCUCAUAUAGUCUGGUCUUGAAAUUUAUUUUGUCUGGUAAAAGUAAGUGAUUCUUGGACCUUUCUUGUUUCCAAUGACAUGAAAUAUAUUUUCACAUCACUUUAUUUUCAGGCUAUGUGUAUUUUUAUAGGCAAAGUGUAUUUCUUAUAGGCAACUGGCGAGUGUCUUAUUUUUUCAUACAUUCAGCCAGUCUAUUUUAAUUGGAUAGUUGAGUCCACUUACGUUCAAUGAUAUUAUUGAUUAUUAUGAACUUAUACCCUGCCAUUUUGUGGUUUGUUUUCUGGGUUUUUGUAUGUGUGUGUGUGUGUGUGUGUGUGUGUGUGUGUGUGUGUGUGUGUGUGUGUGGUCUUUUUCUCCUUUUUUCUUUUAUUGCUGUCUUUCUCUAGCGAAGAUAAGAGUCUCUGGUGAUAUGAUUUAAUUUUCUGCUUUUCAUUUUUUGCAUUUUUAAAAUAUUUUUUUGUUUGAGGUUACCAUGAGACUUGCAAAUGCUAUCUUAUAGCCCAUUAUUUCAACCUGAUAUCACUAUUUGCAUAAACUAACAAGCAAAAAGAAAACUAAUAAAAACUCAGAUUAACUUCAGCUUCCACCCAACUUUUCUUACUUGUUACUUCUAUUUAUAUUUUACUCUACUGUGUCCUAAAAUGUUGUGAUUAUUACUUUUUUUUUAUUGCUUAGUUUUUCCACUUAGGAUAACAGUAGUUUACACACUGUAGUUAGAGUGUUAUUAUAUCCUGUGUUUUCCUCCAUACUUAUUUUUAUCCAUAAGUUUUGUACCUUCAGGUGAUUGUUGAUUGUUCCUUAACACUUUUUUCUUUCUGACUGAAGUACUCCCUUUAGGUUUGCUUGUAGAAUGCAUCUGGUAUUCAUGAAAUCCCAUAGCUUUUGUUUGCUGAAAAAGUCUUUACAUCUUCUUUAUAUGUGAAAGAUAUUUUCACCAGCUAUACUAUUCUAGGAUAAAAAUGGAUUCAUUUGUCCUUUUUUUUCUUUCAGCACUUCAAAUAUGUCAUGACAUUCUUUCUUGUUCUGCAAAGUUUCCACUAACAAGUCUGCUGCCAGACAUGUUGGAGCACCAUUGUAGGUUUUUUUUUGUUUUUUUUUUUUUCUCUCUUGCUGCUUUUAAGAUCCUUUAUCCUUGACCUUUAGGAGUUUGAUUAUUAAAUUCCCUGAAGUAGUCUUAUUUGGGUUAAGUCGUCUUGGUGUCUAUAACCUUCUUGUAUUUGAAUGUUGAUUUCUUCCUGUAGGUUUGCAAUAGUUUUCUGUUACUAUUCCUUUGUAUAAACUUUCUACCCCUAUCUUUUUCUCUACCUCCUCUUUAAGGCCAAUAACUCCAGAGGCUACUUUCUAGAUGCUGUAGGCAUGCUUUAUUAUUUUCUUUUUUUUCUCUGACUGUAUAUUUUCUGUUUGCCUAUCUUCAAGCUCACUAAGUCUUUCUUCUGUUUCAUCCAUUAUAUUAAUACAUCUCUGAUGUAUUCUUCUGUAUGCCAAUUUUAUCUUUUAGCUCUGGAAUUUCUGCUUAAUUAUUUUAAUACCCCAUUAUUCUCAUGGAAUUCUGAAUUUAUUCUCCGUGUUAUAUCAAAUUUCUUUGCGUUUCAACACUGGUCUUCAAAUUCUCUGUCUGAAAUGUCAUGUACUUCUGUUCCUCCAGGAUUGAUCCCCAGUACCUUAUUGAGUUCAUUUAGUUGGGCCACAUUUUCCUGAAUGGUACUGAUGCUACUAGAUAUUCUAAGGUGCCUGGGUAUUGAAGAGCUAGGUAUCUAUUGCCAUCUUUACUAUAUGGGCUUAUUUAUAGUCUUCUUUUCUGAGAUGCCUUUCCAGAUAUUGGAAAAGACUUGGAUGUUGUGAUCUACACUGUGUUUGCUUUAGGAAGUACCACAAGCCCCCAAACUCUGUGGCUCUUCUGGAGUUGUUAGACGUACUGCCUUAACAGUCUUGGACAGAAUCUGGGAGACUUAUCUGGAUUACCAGACAGACAAUUUUUUUCUCUUUACUUAGUUUCUCCCAAACAUACAGAGUCUCUCCCUAUGUUCUGAGUCAUCUAAAGCUAGUCAUGGAGUGACACAAGUACCCCUGUGGCCACCAUCACUGUGAUUAUGCUGGGUCAGAACUGAAGCCAGCACAGUGCUGGGUCUCACCCAAGGCCUGCUAUAACCACUCCCUGGUUACUGCCUAUGUUAAUUCAAGGGCUUGGGGCUCCACAAUUAGCAGGUAGCAAAGGCAGGCCUUUGUUCUUCCAUUUAGGGCAGAGGUUCCCCAGAUCCCAUGUGUGUCAGAAGUGCCAUCGUGGAGUCAGGGCUGGAUUCAAAAACCUUAGAAGUCUAGUUGGUACUCUACGGUAUUGAGGCUGCCACCCAAACCACAAGUUGCAGUUGUUUCCACUCUUCCCUCUACUUUCCAAAGGCAGAAAUUUCUUAUCCCUUAGUUACCACUACUACCCUGCCAAAAGGACUACUGCCAGACUACCACAGAUGUUUUCUUCAGGCUUGAGGUCUUUUAGGUUAGCUUUUGGUGAAUGCUGCCUGGCACAGGAUUCACCCUUCAGGGCAGUGGGCCUCUUUCUGGGUCAGGGAAGGUCCAGAAAUGCCAUCCAAGAGUCAAGUCUUGGAAUCAGGUACUCUAAGAGCUCACUUUGUGCUUAGCACCUGUGGCAGUGUUGGUAUCUAAAAUGCAAGACGUCAAAGUCCCCUUUAAGUUUCUCUCCACUUUUCUAGAGUAGAAGUUGUUUUGCCCCAUUGCCACUACAGUCUACAGUUGGUUAUGUGCUACAUUUCUCCUGAAGCUAGCAAGUCUCAGAGCAUCACUCAAGGCCCUUAAUGUAGUACCUGGGUAUCACUGCUGUUCAUUCAGAGCCCAAGGUUUCUUCAGUGAGCAGGCAAUAAAUGUUGACUGGACUGAGUCCUUUCCUUCAAGGCAUCAGGUUCCCUUCCGGCCCAGAGUGUGUCAAGAAAUGCCAUCUGGGAGGUAAGACCAAAAAUGGCAGGCUCAAAACUCUGUACGGUACCUUAACCUGCUGUGGCUGAACUGGUGUGCUAAGUGCAAAACAAAGUCUUUUGUAUCCUUUCAUGCUCUCCCCUUAAGUGAAGGAUAGGAGCCUUUUUUGGAGCCAUGAGCUAAAAAGCUUGGGGUUAGCACAGAGGUGAUGCCAGGACUCUCUUUUCUGCCUUAGCUGGUGCCUCUUGUUCCAGUCAACUCCACUGUUUCUGGGCCUACUUCAGCAACAGGACUUACUUAAGAGAUGCAGUGGCUUAGAAUACUAUUCAAGUUUACUUAGAUACCAAGAGCAUUUUGGCCCUCUAUGGAGAGGUUUGUGGGCAGUCAAGUUCAGACCACUAGGACUGGAGAUUCUCUUGUAGCUAGGGAUGGUUUCAAUGCUCCUUCUGUGGGUGGGCAUCAGCUGACUUUGUUCUGAUUUUCUUCUCUCCUUUAAUAGGACAGCACUAAGUUCACUGCCUUGCAAUUACUGUGUUGUUUCUACAUCAGUGCCCACAGAUACUUUCUGCCUACACAGUUGCUACCAGGGAUUAGGGAGAGGUGGCUUUGGUGAUUCAGGGAUGGUUUUGUUGUUCUUGCUUGUUUGUUUUUUGUUUUUGUUUCAAAUCUUCAGUGCCUCUUUCAGUGAUAUGAAGUUAAAAUCAGUUACUGUAAGUGAUCACCUGAUUUUUUGGUUCUUACGAAGGUGUGUAGUUUUUUGUUUGUUUUUCUUUUAUGUGUAGAUAAUUGGUAACUUGAUGUUCUUGGGGUGAGGGGGAGGGCUGUAAUCAGUGGAGCUUUCUAUUUCCACCAUUUUGUUUCUUUUCUCUCCAAAUUUUUAUUUAUUGAUUGAACUUUAAAUUUUGUAUAUGCAUAGUUUUCCAAUAUUUUUAUUUGUUCCUGCAUUUUUG
Molecule: long non-coding RNA, 6704 nt
Filed under: Homo sapiens (human)
Lineage: Eukaryota; Metazoa; Chordata; Mammalia; Primates; Hominidae
Description: non-protein coding lnc-EIF1AY-1:1
Source: RNAcentral